Molecule: ribosomal RNA, 492 nt
Filed under: uncultured bacterium
Lineage: Bacteria
Description: partial 16S ribosomal RNA
Rfam family: Bacterial small subunit ribosomal RNA
Source: RNAcentral
AUUGAACGCUGGCGGCAUGCUUUACACAUGCAAGUCGAGCGGUAACAGGCCUUCGGGUGCUGACGAGUGGCGAACGGGUGAGUAAUGCAUCGGAACGUACCCAGAGGUGGGGGAUAACGCAGCGAAAGCUGUGCUAAUACCGCAUGUGAUCUGAGGAUGAAAGCGGGGGACCGAGCAGCAAUGUUUGGCCUCGCGCGUUUGGAGCGGCCGAUGUCGGAUUAGCUAGUUGGUGGGGUAAAGGCCUACCAAGGCGACGAUCCGUAGCUGGUCUGAGAGGACGACCAGCCACAUUGGGACUGAGACACGGCCCAGACUCCUACGGGAGGCAGCAGUGGGGAAUUUUGGACAAUGGGCGCAAGCCUGAUCCAGCAAUGCCGCGUGCGGGAAGAAGGCCUUCGGGUUGUAAACCGCUUUUGGCAGGAACGAAACGGUGUCCGCUAAUACCGGGCGCUAAUGACGGUACCUGCAGAAUAAGCACCGGCUAACUACGUG